Molecule: long non-coding RNA, 311 nt
Filed under: Lathyrus oleraceus (garden pea)
Lineage: Eukaryota; Viridiplantae; Streptophyta; Magnoliopsida; Fabales; Fabaceae
Description: Pisum sativum (pea) long non-coding RNA (PSAT_LNC026045)
Source: RNAcentral
UGCAAAAAGAUAAGUUUGGGGUAUGCAUCCGUAGAUUAAAAAUGUUGUUGAAAAAUGGCAAGUGCAAGGAAAAGAAAGAAGAACAAAAAAGAGAGAAAAAAAGUGUGUAGAAACAUCCGCUUCUACCGAAAAAAAAGAAGAGAAAAAGAAAUGAAAAAAAGCACUUGCCUUAGAAAUAUACUCAUGCAUUAAAAUGAAUUUGAGUGAAAAAAGAGUCAAGAUUUGACGACACCCCAAAAAUAAAAAUUUUGCACAAAGGAAAACAAAAACAUGAAUGCCGAGAUGUAAAACCUGUUGUAAUCCAUUUUGUU